Molecule: ribosomal RNA, 222 nt
Filed under: uncultured bacterium
Lineage: Bacteria
Description: partial 16S ribosomal RNA
Rfam family: Bacterial small subunit ribosomal RNA
Source: RNAcentral
GCAAGUCGAGCGCAGUCCUUCGGGACCGAGCGGCGGACGGGUUAGUAACGCGUGGGAACAUACCCAGAUCUAAGGAAUAGCCUCGGGAAACUGAGAGUAAUACCUUAUACGCCCUUCGGGGGAAAGAUUUAUCGGAGAUGGAUUGGCCCGCGUAAGAUUAGAUAGUUGGUGGGGUAACGGCCUACCAAGUCGACGAUCUUUAGCUGGUUUGAGAGGAUGAUC